RNAcentral lists this ribosomal RNA (437 nucleotides) under uncultured bacterium. RNAcentral's name for it is "bacterial SSU rRNA". It matches the Rfam family "Bacterial small subunit ribosomal RNA", at positions 63 to 508 of the family's 1533-position model. The record is from RNAcentral.
CGAACGGUAACAGGAAAUAGCUUGGCUAUUUUGCUGACGAAGUGGGCGCACGGGUGAGUAAACUAUAGUUAAUNGNACCCCAAAGACUGGGAUAGCCACUGGAAACGGUGAUUAAUACUAGAUACACCUUCUUAUCACAAGGUAAGAAGGGAAAUGUCUUUUCGCUUUGGGAUCAGACUAUAUCCUAUCAGCUAGUUGGUGAGGUAAUGGCUCACCAAGGCAAUGACGGGUAGCGGUUCUGAGAGGAUGAUCCGCCACACUGGUACUGAGACACGGACCAGACUCCUACGGGAGGCAGCAGUGAGGAAUAUUGCACAAUGGGGGGAACCCUGAUGCAGCAACGCCGCGUGGAGGAUGACGCAUUUCGGUGUGUAAACUCCUUUUAUAUGUCAAGAAAAUGACGGUAGCAUAUGAAUAAGCACCGGCUAACUCCGUGC